This 258-nucleotide ribosomal RNA is filed under the name uncultured bacterium. Its description in RNAcentral is "partial 16S ribosomal RNA". It matches the Rfam family "Bacterial small subunit ribosomal RNA", at positions 524 to 781 of the family's 1533-position model. The record is from RNAcentral.
UACGUAGGUGGCAAGCGUUGUCCGGAUUUAUUGGGUUUAAAGGGUGCGUAGGCGGUUCUAUAAGUCAGUGGUGAAAUCCGGCAGCUCAACUGUCGAUGUGCCAUUGAUACUGCAGAACUUGAGUACAGACGAGGUAGGCGGAAUUGACGGUGUAGCGGUGAAAUGCUUAGAUAUCGUCAAGAACACCGAUAGCGAAGGCAGCUUACUAGACUGUAACUGACGCUGAUGCACGAAAGUGUGGGGAUCAAACAGGAGUUA